UACGGAGGGUGCAAGCGUUGUCCGGAAUCACUGGGCGUAAAGCGCACGUAGGCGGCUUUGCAAGUUAGAGGUGAAAGCCCGGGGCUCAACUCCGGAAUUGCCUUUAAAACUGCAUCGCUAGAAUUGUGGAGAGGUAAGUGGAAUUCCGAGUGUAGAGGUGAAAUUCGUAGAUAUUCGGAAGAACACCAGUGGCGAAGGCGACUUACUGGACACAUAUUGACGCUGAGGUGCGAAAGCGUGGGGAGCAAACAGG
RNAcentral lists this ribosomal RNA (253 nucleotides) under uncultured bacterium. Its description in RNAcentral is "partial 16S ribosomal RNA". It matches the Rfam family "Bacterial small subunit ribosomal RNA", at positions 524 to 776 of the family's 1533-position model. The record is from RNAcentral.